This 515-nucleotide ribosomal RNA is filed under the name uncultured bacterium. RNAcentral describes it as "bacterial SSU rRNA". It matches the Rfam family "Bacterial small subunit ribosomal RNA", at positions 8 to 518 of the family's 1533-position model. The record is from RNAcentral.
AGGGUUCGAUUCUGGCUCAGGAUGAACGCUAGCGGCAGGCUUAACACAUGCAAGUCGAGGGGCAGCGCGAGUAGCAAUACUUGGCGGCGACCGGCGCAAGGGUGCGUAACGCGUGAGCAACAUGCCCGUAUCAGGGGGAUAAUCCAGGGAAACUUGGUCUAAUACCCCAUAGUAAUUUUGUAAGGCAUCUUAUAAGAUUUAAAGCUUUGGUGGAUACGGAUUGGCUCGCGUGACAUUAGCUGGAUGGUAAGGUAACGGCUUACCAUGGCUAUGAUGUCUAGGGGUUCUGAGAGGAAGGUCCCCCACACUGGAACUGAGACACGGUCCAGACUCCUACGGGAGGCAGCAGUGAGGAAUAUUGGACAAUGGAUGGAAAUCUGAUCCAGCCAUGCCGCGUGAAGGAAGAAGGUCCUAUGGAUUGUAAACUUCUUUUGUAUGGGAGCAAUAAGGCCUACGAGUAGGUUGAUGAGAGUACCAUACGAAUAAGCACCGGCUAACUCCGUGCCAGCCGCCGC